Small nucleolar RNA from Diospyros lotus (date-plum), 88 nucleotides. RefSeq annotates it as small nucleolar RNA U31b. Lineage: Eukaryota; Viridiplantae; Streptophyta; Magnoliopsida; Ericales; Ebenaceae. The record is from RefSeq and is a predicted model, not a curated record. The transcript has a single exon.
GAAUAUGAUGAUAGUUGUUGUCGCCCCAGUCUUACAAGCAUCUCAACAUGCUUGAUGGUGAUCGACACUUCCUAUUACUAUCUGAUUC